This 253-nucleotide ribosomal RNA is filed under the name uncultured bacterium. Its description in RNAcentral is "partial 16S ribosomal RNA". It matches the Rfam family "Bacterial small subunit ribosomal RNA", at positions 524 to 776 of the family's 1533-position model. The record is from RNAcentral.
UACGUAGGUGGCAAGCGUUGUCCGGAUUUAUUGGGUUUAAAGGGUGCGUAGGCGGUUCUAUAAGUCAGUGGUGAAAUCCGGCAGCUCAACUGUCGAUGUGUCAUUGAUACUGCAGAACUUGAGUACAGACGAGGUAGGCGGAAUUGACGGUGUAGCGGUGAAAUGCUUAGAUAUCGUCAAGAACACCGAUAGCGAAGGCAGCUUACUAGACUGUAACUGACGCUGAUGCACGAAAGUGUGGGGAUCAAACAGG